AAUAUUGGACAAUGGGCGAAAGCCUGAUCCAGCCAUGCCGCGUGUGUGAAGAAGGUCUUCGGAUUGUAAAGCACUUUAAGUUGGGAGGAAGGGGUUGAAGCUAAUACCUCCAAUCUUUGACGUUACCAACAGAAUAAGCACCGGCUGACUCUGUACCGGCAGCCGCGGUAAUACAGAGGGUGCAAGCGUUAAUCGGAAUUACUGGGCGUAAAGCGUGCGCAGGCGGUUCGGCAAGAAGGAUGUGAAAUCCCAGGGCUUAACCUUGGAACUGCAUUCUUAACUGCCGGGCUAGAGUAUGUCAGAGGGGGGUAGAAUUCCCAGUGUAGCGGUGGAAUGCGUAGAUAUUGGGAGGAACACCAGUGGCGAAGGCGACUGCCUGGACGAUAACUGACGCUGAGGCACGAAAGCUAGGGGAGCAAAC
Molecule: ribosomal RNA, 421 nt
Filed under: uncultured bacterium
Lineage: Bacteria
Description: partial 16S ribosomal RNA
Rfam family: Bacterial small subunit ribosomal RNA
Source: RNAcentral